This 24-nucleotide non-coding RNA is filed under the name Rattus norvegicus (Norway rat). The record is from RNAcentral. Lineage: Eukaryota; Metazoa; Chordata; Mammalia; Rodentia; Muridae.
UGAACUUGGGGUGAGGGUCACUGG